AGGGGCAAGAACUUCUUGUUCUUGUAUGCUUCUCUAAGUGCAGCCUUCUGCUUUUGAGAAAUCACAGUCAAGACCUGAGCGAUAGACAACCUCACCACCUUGAUCUUGGAGAGCUUGUUAGGAGCACCCCCGGUGACCUUAGCAACGCGAAGCAGAGCGAGCUCAGCCUUGAGAUCCUUCAACUGAUUCAAGAGCUCAGUCUUCGACUUCUGUCUCAGCUCAUGGACCUUGAUUCUCGCCAUUUCUUCACACAACGGUGGCCAACUGCUGUAUCUGCU
Molecule: unclassified non-coding RNA, 278 nt
Filed under: Hevea brasiliensis (rubber tree)
Lineage: Eukaryota; Viridiplantae; Streptophyta; Magnoliopsida; Malpighiales; Euphorbiaceae
Source: RNAcentral